RNAcentral lists this long non-coding RNA (777 nucleotides) under Cricetulus griseus (Chinese hamster). Its description in RNAcentral is "lncRNA (ENSCGRG00000026108.1)". Lineage: Eukaryota; Metazoa; Chordata; Mammalia; Rodentia; Cricetidae. The record is from RNAcentral.
CACUGCUAGUAUUGGACAUGGAUAGGACAAUGAUGUCAGCGGUAACAAUGCAGCAGGUGAGGAGCAGAGCACCACAUGGUGCAUUUACACUUUCCUUCUUCAUUGCUUCCCCAGUGGAGCGUAUGAAAGCUGAAGCUGCGCAGGCUACAGCAAAAAUACAGGAGGAAAUGCAACAGAAGAUUGAACAGUUGCUGCAAGAGAAAGAGAAGAGCCAUGAGGAGCACAGCAAACAGUUGACUGAGAUGAUGGGGAAGGCACAGGACCAGAAUAAGAAUAUGCAACAGUUGGUUGAACAGUUGGUGCAACAGAAAGGAAAGAGUGAUGAGGACCACAGGAAAAAGUUGACUGAGAAGGUAGAUGAAGCACAGGCCAAGUUGAGAGAGUUGCAGAAGGAGAAAGAACAUUUGCAGAACCAGAUGAAGUGUCUAGAGGAAAAAAUCAAACAUCUGCCUGAGGAGAAAAAGAAGGAAAAUCAUGAAUAUGACCAACUUCGCGAGGUCUGGUAUUACAGAAGAGUGCUAUGGUUACUUCCAACAUGGAUACCUGUGACUCUAGCAGAGAUGUUCCUGACUCUGCCACGCCCCCACCUCCAUCCCAACUACAUUUUGUAGAUUAAGAUUCAAUGCCUUAGUGAGAUAUUUAGAAUUCAUGCCUGUGUUUCAUGUUUCCAUAAGGGGUGAGUAAGAGUUUGUAUUAAAGUCUAUGAUAAUAAAUAUAGAGGGCAAACGCAUGAUUACCUACACAGGUUGUAGACAACUGAUGAUAGAAAUCAACACC